Molecule: ribosomal RNA, 773 nt
Filed under: uncultured bacterium
Lineage: Bacteria
Description: bacterial SSU rRNA
Rfam family: Bacterial small subunit ribosomal RNA
Source: RNAcentral
AGCGNGGGGAGCAAACAGGGUUGGAUACCCUGGUAGUCCACGCCGUAAACGAUGUUUACUUGGAGGUUGUGGCCUUGGGCCGUGGCUUUCGGAGCUAACGCGUUAAGUAGACCGCUUGGGGAGUACGGUCGCAAGAUUAAAACUCAAAUGAAUUGACGGGGGCCCGCACAAGCGGNGGAGCAUGUGGUUUAAUUCGAUGCAACGCGAAGAACCUUACCUACUCUUGACAUCUACAGAAGCCAGCGGAGACGCAGGUGUGCCUUCGGGAACUGUAAGACAGGUGCUGCAUGGCUGUCGUCAGCUCGUGUUGUGAAAUGUUGGGUUAAGUCCCGCAACGAGCGCAACCCUUAUCCUUGUUUGCCAGCACUUCGGGUGGGAACUCCAGGGAGACUGCCGGUGAUAAACCGGAGGAAGGUGGGGACGACGUCAAGUCAUUAUGGCCCUUACGAGUAGGGCUACACACGUGCUACAAUGGCGCAUACAGAGGGCGGCCAACUUGCGAAAGUGAGCGAAUCCCAAAAAGUGCGUCGUAGUCCGGAUUGGAGUCUGCAACUCGACUCCAUGAAGUCGGAAUCGCUAGUAAUCGUGGAUCAGAAUGCCACGGUGAAUACGUUCCUGGGCCUUGUACACACCGCCCGUCACACCAUGGGAGUGGGCUGCAAAAGAAGUGGGUAGUUUAACCUUCGGGAGGACGCUCACCACUUUGUGGUUCAUGACUGGGGGAAGUCCUUUUAAAGUACCCGAAGGCGACUCCCCACACUGCCGGCCGUAAU